Long non-coding RNA from Leptopilina boulardi, 382 nucleotides. RefSeq lists it as uncharacterized. Lineage: Eukaryota; Metazoa; Arthropoda; Insecta; Hymenoptera; Figitidae. The transcript is spliced from 3 exons. The record is from RefSeq and is a predicted model, not a curated record.
GUUCGAUUUGCAAAUUUAUUUUAAGGAUUCGAUAAUGUUUUGGAGUUCAGUUUCAAAAUUGACGUUGCAAACAGCACACAUAUUUUAUAUUAUUAUUUCUUAUUGAUUUUAUUUUAUUAUAUUUUAUUAAUUAUUGUUAUUAUUUAUUUAAGUAUUUAUUUGUUUAUUUAUUAAUUUUUAAAAAGUGGAUUCAUUUAAUUGAUUCAAACUCCAAACUCUAUGUUUUUCCAACGUUAUAGGGUUGUUUUUAUUUAAUUUGACACUAAAAUGACUGUUUAACUCUAUGGCUUGACAUCUGUUUUAAUUUGAUUAAUCAAAGUGUGAUCAUAGAAUAAAAAAUGGAUACAUUAUUAACCUAUACAAGUCCUCUAGCAACUGUACA